CCCCUGCUUCCUCCAGUGUUUGUUUCCCCCAUCUCUUCUUCCCGUCUUUGCUUAAUAGAAGGUUUUUGCCCUUUCCAUGUCCGAUUCCUGAGCUGAUCUCUGAAUAAACCCGCGGUGUCUUGAAGAUUUUCCUGGAGAAUGUUAAGAGUCUGAUGCCCACUUGGACUGCGUUUUCGCUCUAAUGAAAGAGCCUGAGCUGAGUUGAUCCAAGGUUCUUUUGGUAUUGACAUUUUUGCUUCUGAAGAUGAAGAAGAUAAAGAAAGACUGAGUAUUGACUUUGCACCUUUAGUUGCUAAACUUACUAACAUUCAUGUUUAGGAAUCUUCUCUGUUUUGUGUUGAGCCAGGAGCAAACUUUUAGGUUGCUAUCUUUGUACUGUCAAGUGGAUAUUUGUACUGUCACUGGCACUCCUUCAAGUUGCUUACAACAGGCGUUUGAAAUGGUCGGU
Long non-coding RNA from Coffea eugenioides, 448 nucleotides. RefSeq lists it as uncharacterized. The record is from RefSeq and is a predicted model, not a curated record. NCBI's taxonomy places the organism in Eukaryota, Viridiplantae, Streptophyta, Magnoliopsida, Gentianales, Rubiaceae. The transcript has 3 exons.